Molecule: unclassified non-coding RNA, 352 nt
Filed under: plant metagenome
Description: partial contains small subunit ribosomal RNA, internal transcribed spacer 1, and 5.8S ribosomal RNA
Source: RNAcentral
UUUCCGUAGGUGAACCUGCGGAAGGAUCAUUAUAAAUGAAAAACGAAUCACUUCAGGGAAGAAGGGAACCUGCACGGUGACCUCCCCUGUCGGGCCACCCAAUACCUUCAAAAUGCCGCCGUCCUAGCGGUGGCAGACGAAAAAAAAACAAGAAAAACAAAAUAGAAACAGGCACGGUGGCCCGUUCACCUUCACACAACCCUCCGAGUACCGCUUCCAUGUUGCUUCCCCGCAAAUCCACCUCUUUGGUGAGCGCGGGGGAGGUCCGCAUCAAAUUCACCUGAAUGUCACAGCAGUCAGACAGCCAUUCAUGGAAACAAUAAAACUUUCAACAACGGAUCUCUUGGUUCCC